AGCGAACGCUGGCGGCAGGCCUAACACAUGCAAGUCGAACGGCAGCACAGUAAGAGCUUGCUCUUACGGGUGACGCGUGGCGGCCGGGUGAUUAAUACAUCGUAACCUACUUUUACGUGGGGGAAAACGGUGGGAAACUUACGCUAGUACGGCAUAUGACCUACGGGUGAAAGCAGGGUAUCUUCGCACCUUGCGCGGUUGAAUGAGCAGAUGUCGGAUUAGCUAGGUGGGGGGGGAAAGGCCCACCAAGGCGACGAUCCGUAGCUGAUGGGAGAGGAGGAUCAGCCAAACGGGAACGGAGACACGGUCCAGACGCCUAAGGGAGGCAGCAGUGGGGAAUAUUAGACAAUGGGCGCAAGCAUGAUACAGCCAUACCGCGUGGGUGAAGAAGGCGUUCGGGUUGGAAAGCCGUUUUGUUGGGAAAGAAAAGCAGCAGGUUAAUACCCCGCGGUUCUGACGGUACCCAAAGAAUAAGCACCGGCUAACUUCGUG
RNAcentral lists this ribosomal RNA (492 nucleotides) under uncultured bacterium. RNAcentral's name for it is "partial 16S ribosomal RNA". It matches the Rfam family "Bacterial small subunit ribosomal RNA", at positions 29 to 507 of the family's 1533-position model. The record is from RNAcentral.